Molecule: RNA transcript, 2414 nt
Organism: Chenopodium quinoa (quinoa)
Lineage: Eukaryota; Viridiplantae; Streptophyta; Magnoliopsida; Caryophyllales; Amaranthaceae
Exons: 12
Source: RefSeq, a predicted model, not a curated record
AAGUCGGCAUAAACUUUCUAGGGCAUUUUUAGGGUUUGCAACUUAUGGAGUAGUAGUAUAUAAGCGUUGCUGCCGAUCAAUUGAGGGAUAAAAUGAUAAAUCAAAUGAUAGUUUCUUAAACUACAUUCAUACAUAGUCUUUUCUCUCUCUCUCUCUUUUUUUUUUUGAGAAAUAGUGUUUUCUCUCUCUCAUUCCAUUUCAUUUUUCUUCUUCUUAUAAGCUCACUGACUUGCCGAUUCCAAUUUUGCACAAAGUUGUUUGAUCUAUAAAAAUAUUUCUAAACUAGAAGAAAUCUGCUCAUUUUAUAUCUGAUCUACAAAUAAAUUUCCAAACUUUAAAAAAUUUGCUAGUUCUGAUUUCGCUCAAAGUUCGUUGAUCGAUCUGAUAUUGAGCAAUGGUGCUCCCCAUGAUUUUAUUCCACACCCGCAAGUCCUGGAAAAUUGAUAUUUACAAGGGUCACCGCCUUUACCCUGGAGUGAAAAAUCUAAGACUGAUUUUUGGGGAUGAAGGUCGUCUAAAUACUCUUAAUCAUAGUUCAUAUGGCAGUGGCAUAGUUGGAAUUUGCGAGCUUCCUUUUCAUCCAGUUAGUUCGGAGGUUAUUGGAGGAGUUGGUGGAACAUGUGUAAUUCGUGGUUGUGUUCCCCAAAAAAAAUUGGUGUAUGGAGUUGCUUUUGGAGGUGAACUUAAGGAUGCAAAAAGCUUUGGUUGGGAGUUGAAUGAGAAGAUCGACUUCAACUGGAAAAAAUUGUUGCAGAAGAAGACAGAUGAGAUUAUCAGGCUCAAUAACAUUUACAAACGACUGCUAUCUAAUGCUGGGGUGAAACUAUACGAAGGUGAAGGCAGGAUAGUUGGUCCUAAUGAAGUCCAAGUGACACAAAUAGAUGGCACAAAGUUGUCAUACUCUGCAAAACGUGUAUUGACUGCAACUGGUAGCCGGGCGCAACGUCCUAAUUUUCCUGGGCAGAGAAGACAAUUUGGAGUCGUUGGAGGCCAUGAAGCCCUAGGUGGAGCUCAACACCAGAGGAUGAAUUUUCUUUUCUUAUGCCGCCGCAAUUAUGUGGAUGCCCCAAUGGCUAAGUUUUCCAAUAAAUUUCCAAAGUCGAUCGCGGAAUAUGAAAAGUUUUACCAUCUUUAUCGAGAUCAACUUUUAAAAGGCUACUACUUAAUGAAAAUGGACAAGAUUAAUGAAAUAAUUGUCAUUUCCAAAAUAGAUUUUGUCAAUUUAGUAAUGUUUUGUCCAAUUAAGUAUAGAUCUUGGCUAUGGGAAGAAUUAGUACGUAGGCGGGUAGUUGUCCUUGAUUCUGAAAACCUACCUUCUCAUUGGCCAGUUCAGUUCUUUCAUAACCUACCUCCAGUUAAACAAUUAGUGCACCCUAUUCAAAUGUUAAUCCCUAUUAAGCCAUCAGAUAGUUGGAUUAAGAUUUAUGUUGAUGCAUCUUACUCCGAAAAAUGGAGUUCUACCGAAGCCGGGGGUGGGGUAGUUUUAUUAGACCCAUCCGGAAAUGUCAGGUUGUUUUGGACCAAAGUGGCCGCAAGGUCAGCUUUUAUUGGGGAGGGAUAUGUUAUUUAUUCAGCCCUUACCUAUGUUUGGAGAAAUGGUUUUACCCGGGUAGAACUCGUAUCUGAUUGUUUAGAUUGGGUAGAUGUCUUAGAGGGACGUUCGUAUGUUCGUGAUGAGUACAUCAACCUUUAUAGCAAUUUGUUAAAUGUACUCUCUCAGUUUGAUUGUUGGGGGUAAUCAAACAUAUUCCGAGAGAGGGCAAUGGUUUGGCUGAUAUGAUAGCCAGGUAUGUUACGAGAAACAUUUUUCCUAAGAGUUUGGGAUAUAAAAUUUUUCCAUUUGAGGAACAUCUGGCUGGAAUGAGUGCUCAAAUUCUCAAAUUGGAGAAUAAUUUCCCUUUUCUGAGGAUUGAAGAAAUUACCUCUAGUCGGAAGAAAAGGUUUACUCCAAGACCUGUUAUUCCUAGUUUACUUGUUAAUACUACGUAAUUUUAGUGUUAUUCAUUUGGGCUAGGUGAUACGGAUUACGGAGUAUAUAUUUGACUCAACAUAUAGUGGGCCUGUUCAACAAAUACAAUUGUACUUUGCUGCUGGAUAAAGACUAUCAAUUUAGAAAUUAUUUAUUGAGUCCACAUUAAAAUUACGUACUAUUAGAAGUUUUUGUCAUAUAUUUUUUUUUUACACAGUUUAUACAUUCAAAUUAGGUUUGAUUUUAAUGUUUUAUUCAAUUUAUUGUCUACAUUCUAUAUAUAUUGAGUACAAUAUUUUUUUGUUUCUUUAAUUUGUUGUUGAUACAUUUAGACUUUAACUCUAUAUACUCAUUCGAUAAUCUUUUGUGAUACGGUGUAUAUACAUACGAAAAAAUGUAAUUGUUUUUUGUAAAUCCUAUUAAUUUGUCUUAGUAAUAUUUUUUU